UGCGAAGAGAAUGCUUUGUUGCGGACCCCCGUAGGACCUGGACCCCUCUGCUUCAGCAGGGUCGCAGGCGGCCCGGAGCAUGCGGAAUGGCAUUCAAGGCACCCCCCUCCCCAGUCUAAAAAUAAACCCAUCCCGGGAGGCGACCCUUCCCAAAUGAGGCAGCUGCAAUUUGGAAACGCUGAAUAUUUAACUACAAAGAAAAGAUGAGGAAACUAGAGCCCAGAGAGGUUAAGUAACUUGCUCCACUCACAUGCCUGAGCAAUGGACCAUGAAUACAGCUCCUGUAUUCCACACAAGUGGUUAACGCCUGGCCCCCCAGGAGCACACUGCAGAAGCUGCCUGUUGUGGACUUACGGCUUUGCUUGGAGGGAGAGAGGACGGCAGACGCUGAUCUGCAUUGCUGCAGCUUUGGUUCACUUAGUCUGACCUUUUUCUCCUCCCCUGCUUUCUCUGCUUUUCUUAUAUUGUCCAAAGUACUCAGCAAACUGAGCGAUUUAUUCUCUAGCUGG
Molecule: long non-coding RNA, 509 nt
Filed under: Heterocephalus glaber (naked mole-rat)
Lineage: Eukaryota; Metazoa; Chordata; Mammalia; Rodentia; Bathyergidae
Description: lncRNA (ENSHGLG00000043570.1)
Source: RNAcentral